This 312-nucleotide ribosomal RNA is filed under the name Escherichia coli. Its description in RNAcentral is "partial 23S ribosomal RNA". It matches the Rfam family "Bacterial large subunit ribosomal RNA", at positions 2631 to 2925 of the family's 2925-position model. Lineage: Bacteria; Pseudomonadati; Pseudomonadota; Gammaproteobacteria; Enterobacterales; Enterobacteriaceae. The record is from RNAcentral.
UCGGUCCCUAUCUGCCGUGGGCGCUGGAGAACUGAGGGGGGCUGCUCCUAGUACGAGAGGACCGGAGUGGACGCAUCACUGGUGUUCGGGUUGUCAUGCCAAUGGCACUGCCCGGUAGCUAAAUGCGGAAGAGAUAAGUGCUGAAAGCAUCUAAGCACGAAACUUGCCCCGAGAUGAGUUCUCCCUGACUCCUUGAGAGUCCUGAAGGAACGUUGAAGACGACGACGUUGAUAGGCCGGGUGUGUAAGCGCAGCGAUGCGUUGAGCUAACCGGUACUAAUGAACCGUGAGGCUUAACCUUACAACGCCGAAG